CCCUUAGAUGUUCUGGGCCGCACGCGCGCUACACUGAAGGAAUCAGCGUGGCUUUCUCCCUGACCCGAAAGGGUUGGGAAACCCGUUGAAUCUCCUUCGUGAUAGGGAUUGGGGCUUGAAAUUGUUCCCCAUGAACGAGGAAUUCCCAGUAAGCGCGAGUCAUAAGCUCGCGUUGAUUACGUCCCUGCCCUUUGUACACACCGCCCGUCGCUCCUACCGAUUGAGUGGUCCGGUGAGGCUUUGGGAUCUGAGCGGAAAGAGCGUUUCGCUGUUUCUGCUCGGAAAACUCAGUCGAACCUUAUCAUUUAGAGGAAGGAGAAGUCGUAACA
This 329-nucleotide ribosomal RNA is filed under the name uncultured eukaryote. RNAcentral's name for it is "partial 18S ribosomal RNA". It matches the Rfam family "Eukaryotic small subunit ribosomal RNA", at positions 1470 to 1796 of the family's 1831-position model. The record is from RNAcentral.